Megalopta genalis is the source of this 464-nucleotide long non-coding RNA. RefSeq lists it as uncharacterized. The record is from RefSeq and is a predicted model, not a curated record. NCBI's taxonomy places the organism in Eukaryota, Metazoa, Arthropoda, Insecta, Hymenoptera, Halictidae.
GGAAUUUGACAAGUAUGUGGCGAAAAAUUAAGGCACAGUUCACGGGGACGAAGAUCGAAGAGUCGAGCGACGAAUGCAGUUCUUAGGAACACGAUGCCGCUGGAUGAUGAUUAUGAAUGUUCCCGGAAUGUCUUUGUUUACCGGUGGAAAAACGAGCGUGCGUUAUUCUUCGACCGCUAAACCUCCAGAGAAAUGAGUACGAGAAAGUUUCUCGAGCUCGGGGAACUCGUUUCGAAGGUUCCUUAAAUUGGAAGCGAAGAUAAGAAGAAGAAGACGGAUCGAUAUAAUUUUGGACAGUCGAAAGGUUGCGGCCGACGCUCCGUUCGUAAAUCUUCGAGAUACGGAUCUCAGCUGUUUCAACCGAUGUUAAUACCGCGGAACCAUUUACCUGCUCCUUUAAGAGAGAACUGUAACAACUUCCGUGCACUUUUCUGGUCGAUUUGAGAAAUAUUUGAGAUAAAAGU